UCCAUUGAUACAGAUCAGUUAUUGCCCCGCCUUUUCCCUCAGUUGCGAGCGUUAUUGACCCCGGUCAAUUUUCAUCCAGGCCUGAUUGGUUAACUUGAACCCAUCACAACGGGGCAAGACCAGGAGGCCAGUCAUGUUUUUCGAUAAUGUGGUGUUUGCCGGGAUACUGACGGUCGGCCUCAUGUUCGUAUUCUUCGCUGUAUUUGGAUUAUUCAUCUGGAAAGACGCACAUAAGCGUAGAAAGCCAUAAGUCUUUCCAGCUGCAACGAGCACGCAAGGCAUUUUGGGCGACUUCGGUCGCCCUUU
This 306-nucleotide unclassified non-coding RNA is filed under the name Pseudomonas sp. NFACC36. RNAcentral's name for it is "Pseudomonas sRNA P20". The stretch from base 94 to 306 matches the Rfam family "PhrS". RNAcentral also lists the same sequence under 6 other names. The record is from RNAcentral. Lineage: Bacteria; Pseudomonadati; Pseudomonadota; Gammaproteobacteria; Pseudomonadales; Pseudomonadaceae.